RNAcentral lists this ribosomal RNA (253 nucleotides) under uncultured bacterium. RNAcentral's name for it is "partial 16S ribosomal RNA". It matches the Rfam family "Bacterial small subunit ribosomal RNA", at positions 524 to 776 of the family's 1533-position model. The record is from RNAcentral.
UACGUAGGGUGCGAGCGUUAAUCGGAAUUACUGGGCGUAAAGUGUGCGCAGGCGGCCGAGCAAGUCGAGUGUGAAAGCCCCGAGCUUAACUUGGGAACUGCGCUCGAAACUACUUGGCUGGAGUGUGGCAGAGGAAGGUGGAAUUCCACGUGUAGCGGUGAAAUGCGUAGAGAUGUGGAGGAACACCGAUGGCGAAGGCAGCCUUCUGGGCCAACACUGACGCUCAUGCACGAAAGCGUGGGGAGCGAACAGG